GAUGAACGUUGGCGGCGUGCCUAAUACAUGCAAGUCGAACGAAGACUGUAGUAAUACUGUCUUAGUGGCGAACGGGUGAGUAACGCGUGGGUGACCUGCCCCGAAGUGUGGGAUAACAGUUCGAAAGGAUUGCUAAUACUGCAUAAUAUCCAAGAGAUUAGACGCUUUUGGAUUAAAGGAGUAAUUCGCUUCGGGAGGGGCCCGCGUCCCAUCAGCUAGUUGGUAAGGUAAUGGCUUACCAAGGCGAUGACGGGUAGGGGACCUGAGAGGGUGGCCCCCCACAAUGGAACUGAAACACGGUCCAUACACCUACGGGUGGCAGCAGUAGGGAAUAUUAGUAAUGGGCGAAAGCCUGAACUAGCAACGCCGCGUGUGCGAAGAAGGCCUCGGUUGUAAAGCACUUUUGUAGAGGAUGAGGAAGGACGGUACGUCUCAGAAUAAGUCUCGGUCUAACUACGUG
RNAcentral lists this ribosomal RNA (460 nucleotides) under uncultured bacterium. Its description in RNAcentral is "bacterial SSU rRNA". It matches the Rfam family "Bacterial small subunit ribosomal RNA", at positions 28 to 507 of the family's 1533-position model. The record is from RNAcentral.